RNAcentral lists this ribosomal RNA (371 nucleotides) under uncultured organism. Its description in RNAcentral is "bacterial SSU rRNA". It matches the Rfam family "Bacterial small subunit ribosomal RNA", at positions 526 to 896 of the family's 1533-position model. The record is from RNAcentral.
CAGAGGGUGCGAGCGUUAAUCGGAAUUACUGGGCGUAAAGCGUGCGUAGACGGUUAUUUAAGUCGGAUGUGAAAGCCCCGGGCUCAACCUGGGAAUUGCAUUCGAGACUGAAUAGCUAGGGUGCGGUAGAGGGAAGCGGAAUUUCCGGUGUAGCGGUGAAAUGCGUAGAUAUCGGAAGGAACAUCAGUGGCGAAAGCGGCUUCCUGGACCAGCACCGACGUUCAGGUACGAAAGCGUGGGGAGCAAACAGGAUUAGAUACCCUGGUAGUCCACGCCAUAAACGAUGAGGACUAGACGUUGGAGGGGUAAGCCUUUCAGUGUCGUAGCUAACGCGCUAAGUCCUCCGCCUGGGGAGUACGGCCGCAAGGUUG